UGGGGAAUUUUGCACAAUGGGCGCAAGCCUGAUGCAGCGACGCCGCGUGAGGGAUGAAGGCCUUCGGGUUGUAAACCUUUUUCGCUCAUGGUCAAGCCGCAGCUUUGGGUUGUGGUGAGGGUAGUGGGUAAAGAAGCCCCGGCUAACUACGUGCCAGCAGCCGCGGUAAUACGUAGGGGGCUAGCGUUGUCCGGAAUCACUGGGCGUAAAGGGUUCGCAGGCGGAAAUGCAAGUCAGGUGUAAAAGGCAGUAGCUUAACUACUGUAAGCAUUUGAAACUGCAUAUCUUGAGAAGAGUAGAGGUAAGUGGAAUUUUUAGUGUAGCGAUGAAAUGCGUAGAUAUUAAAAAGAAUACCGGUGGCGAAGGCGACUUACUGGGCUCAUUCUGACGCUGAGGAACGAAAGCGUGGGUAGCAAACAGG
This 421-nucleotide ribosomal RNA is filed under the name Verrucomicrobiota bacterium. RNAcentral's name for it is "Verrucomicrobia bacterium partial 16S ribosomal RNA". It matches the Rfam family "Bacterial small subunit ribosomal RNA", at positions 355 to 776 of the family's 1533-position model. Lineage: Bacteria; Pseudomonadati; Verrucomicrobiota. The record is from RNAcentral.